RNAcentral lists this long non-coding RNA (16140 nucleotides) under Homo sapiens (human). RNAcentral describes it as "HSALNT0076917". Lineage: Eukaryota; Metazoa; Chordata; Mammalia; Primates; Hominidae. The record is from RNAcentral.
AGAAACUCGUGGGAUCAUCCAGUUGGGCUCCCAAUCCUUUCAUUUGUUUUUGUUUUUUUGAAACAGUCUCGCUCUGUCGCCCAGGCUGGAGUGCAGUGGCCAGAUCUUGGCUCACUGCAACCUCCCAUCUGCCAGGUUCAAGUGAUUCUCCUCCUUCAGCCUCCUGAGUAGCUGAGAUUACAGGCACCUGCCACCACACUCAGCUAUGUAUUUUUAGUAGAGAUGGGGUUUCACCAUGUUGGCCAGGGUGGUCUCAAACUCCUGACCUCAAGUGAUCUUCCUGUCUUGGCCUCCCAAAGUGCUGGGGUUACAGGCUUGAGCCACCGCACCUGGCUCCCAGUCCUCUCAUUUGUAAAGAUAAGGAUGCUGAGUCUAGUGAGGUGGAGCAGCUUGCCAAGCCCACACAACUAGUUAAGGCAGAGCCAGCAUCGAAGCCCACAUCUCUUGGCUCUCAGUCAAGUCCUUUCCACUGUACUAAAGGAGACCAUAUUUAGAAAAGAUUAAAAUGCUGAAAUUUUCUCUCCACAUCUGUAUUUUAAAGAAAAGGAAAUCUCUAAUAUGAAUUAUAGUCACUAUUUCCAGUGUUUAACUGAAAAAUACUGGAGCUCUGAAAAAUUUUCAGGUUUGUCCUUCAUAAUCUACAUGGAAAAUAAUGAAAAAGCCAACUCCACCUCCCGCUAUGAACAUACUGCUCACUGUCUGAUGUACUGGGUGUACAGCUGCUCUGAGCCUUUCUCUUGAACACCCUUCUAUUUAUUUUAUUGCAAAGUUAUUGUGGAUUUUGGAAUCAACUGAAGUAUUUCUUAGUUUACAACAAUGUUGUUCAAGGUUCACCAUUAAAAAUCAUAAUGGUAAAAAUACUAACAGCCCUUUCCUCUAUUAGAAAUAAUUUGAAAAGUACCUUAAGAUAAUAUUUCAGAGGAACAUUUCAACUUACAGCAUAUCUGACAUUCGUCAUCUUAAUGCCUGGAAAAGAAUUCUUGUCAAGAAGGAGUUUGUUCUUUUACUAGUAGGAAGUGCAUUACUCUAAGUAUAUAUGCUUGCUUCAGCUCUCUGGAGGAUCAGAGUAGUAAUAAUAAUAUAUUUCUUGAGUGCUUACUAACUGCUAAUCUCUGGAAUAAACCUUUACAUGCAUUACCUCAUUGAAUUCUCACAGCUACCUCAUGAGAUUGUUAUUAUAAUCCCUACUUUACAAGUGAAGUAAUUAAAGUUGAAGAUCAUCAGGUUGAUAAAUGGCAGUGACUGAAAUUUAAGCAAUCUCAGUUCAGGCCCUAGCUCUGUGUUAGCAUGUGAAGUCUCCUGAGGAAGAGACUGCUUCCCAGGCUCGACAUUAUUUGGUUAGGGCCUUGGUCAGGAAGGACUUUCUGCAUGGAGUAAUGACCAGGUUAAGACCUGAAGAGACUACAGUGGUGGAGUACAUGGGCAGUAGGCACAGACGGCAGGGGGUAACUGCUAUUCCCUGCUCAUCAGAUUCUACCAGCAUUAUGUCAUUAAUAUAGAGGAUCAGCAUGAUGGCUUAUGGAAUGGUAAAAUAAGGUAAGUUUUUGAAGACUAACUACAGCACAAUGCCAAAUUGUUGAAAGGAAGCAAUCAUGACCGUAACCUUCUGACUCUACUGGCUGAAGAAAAAUGUGUGUGUGUGUGUGUGUGUGUGUGUGUGAAUUGUAGCAUACAAGGUACCAGGAGCCUAGUUUAUUUGUUCCAUUAAAAAGCUUACAUAUGUAUCAGCAGCUAUAAGUGAAGUCAUCAUCUGAUUAAGUUAAUAAUAAGCUGUUGAUUUUUUUUUUUUUUUUUUUACUAAGGCUAAUCUGUUUUCUACAUGAUACAAAAGCACAAGUUAGAUGGGGACAGAACAGGAUUUACAACUUCAGGAUUUUUAAGUACUUGAUAGCGGCACUAAUAUCUGAAAUUCCCUCAGGAGUGCAGAAUUGAUUUUGAUUUACUAUUUUAGUAGUAAGGACUUAUUCCUGAGGCGCUCAGUUUGCUGUUUCUACCACAAUCCUUUUCUUCAUAGUUCAGGGAUCCAGUGUUGGGAUUCUGUCAGUAACUAAGUAUAUCUCUUCCAGUUGAGCAUUCAUGAAUGGUGGGAAUAAACACAAGUGUGUUCUUAGACACACAAGGCCCACUUUGAGAUGAAGUUGAGCCAAAACUCUGGUUAUCAGUUGACCCCUCAGUAUUUCCUUCCUUUCUUUUUUUUAUUGUGAAUGUUAUAUAUUUAUUUUUAUUAUAAAUUGAUAAUUUAUAAUUAUAUAUAUUUAUGGGAUACAAAGUGAUGUUAUGAUUUAUGAAUACAAUAUGGAGUAACUAAAUCAAGCUAACUGACAUAUCUAUCACCUCAAAUACUUAUCACUUUCUGUGGUGAGAACGUUUGAAAUGUACUCUGUUAGCAAUUUGGAAAUAUUUCAAAUACACUAUUAUUAAUUAUAUUCACUAUGCUGUGCAAUAGACCUCAAAACCCCCAACAACACCUUAUUCUGAGGUUUUGUACUCUUUGUUCAUCUUCUCCCUAUUUCCCCCACUCCCAGCCUCUGUAACCAGCAUUCUACAGACUCUCUGCUUCUAUGAGUCUGAUUGUUCUUGAUUCUACAUAUAAGUGAGAAUAUUCAGUGUUGGUUGUUUUGUGUCUGAUUUAUUCAAUUUAACAGAAUGUUCACUAAUUCCAACCACGUUAUUGCAAAUAACAGAAUUUCCUUAUUUUUAAGAGUGAAACACAGUCUAUUUUGUAUAUGUCCUCUCAGGAAAUCUAGUUGGGAGGUGGGUUGUACUUGGUUAGUCUAUUUAACAUUUCUAUUUUCUUAUAACAUGAAAUCCUUUCCUGACAGUAUUCUAAGGAUUUUUGGCAUGUCUAGUUUAUUUAGUGAAAGUAUAGUUAUAUGUAUAAAUUCUCAUUGUGAUCUUUAAUUCUGUUUCUUCUUCCCUGGCAUUCUUAGAAUCCUUUUUCUUGAUAUUCUCCAGGUUAAUAACAAUGCAAAAUAACAAAACAGUUUAAUUAUUUUGGUGCAUAUGCUGUUGACUUUCUGAGUUACUGUUUGUACCAUUCUCACCAUAAUAUUUGGGUUUGAUUUUGGUUAUUAAUCUCAAAGCAAUGAAAGAUGGAAGGAAUGAAGCAUGAGAAGACUCAACAGCCUAUUUAAAAUAUAUCUUGCUCAGGUAAAGCCAUUGAAGACUCUAAGGUAAGGCAAGUCUCUACUCAUCAGACAGAGGAAGAACUGUUUCUGCUAACCAGGGUGCCCCGCUCCCUACCAUUUUAGGCAGUUAGAGACCUGGAGUACUCAUGGUUAUUUUAGUGUCUCCAAAUGUCUACAUUUAAAAUUAUCAGGAUACCACUCUUUCCCAAUUAAUAUGCUAAAUUUUCCAGGAAGUAUUUUCUUAAAUAUAUAUUUUUUAAUUUAAAAAAAAUAUUUUUAAAUUGAUUAUACAAUAAAAUGUGUAUAUAUUUAUCAUGUAUAAUAUAUUGCCUUGAAAUACAUAUGCAUUGUGGAAUAGCUAAAUUGAGCUAAUUAACAUAUGCAUUACCUCGCAAACUUAUCAUUUUUUGUUAGGAGAACACUUACAAUCUACUCUCUUAGCAACUUUCAAGAAUAGAAUACAUUAUUAUUAACUAUUGUUACCAUGUUGUACAACAGAUCUUUUGAACUCAUUUCUUAUCUAACUGAAAUUUUGUAUCUUUUGACCAGCAUCUCUUUGAUCCUCCCCUCCUUUCCCAGUCCCUGGUAACCACCAUUCUAUUUUUUAUUUCCUUAAAUUGAACUUUUUUAGAUUCUACAUAUAAGUGAGAUUAUGCAGUAUUUGUGUUUCUGUGCCUGGCUUAUUUCACUAACCAUAAUGUUCUCCAGGUUGGUGUAUGUUGUUGCAAAUGACAAGAUUUUCUUCAUUUUUUUUAGGCUGAAUAGUAUUCUAUUGUGUAUAUGUACCACAUUUUCUUUAUCUAUUCAUCCAAUGAUGGACAUUUAGAUUGUUUCCAUAUUCUGGCUAUUGUGAAUAAUGCUGCAAUAAACAUGAGAGUACAGACAUCUCUUUGAUGUACUGAUUUUAUUUCUUUUGAAUACAUACCCAGUAGUGAGAUUACUGGAUCCAGAAAGGCUAGAUAAUCUUGUGAACUGGCUUAUGUUAAUCAUAACCUGAACUGGAAUUUUAAAUCCUAAACUAGUUGUUUCAUUUUUUAUUAGUCUCAGUAAUGUAGUUAAAAGUAGAGAACUUCAUGAACUUUACAUUCUUCAUUUUUACCAUAGUAUUUUAUUUUAGUGGCCAUUUGUUUCAUCGAGGCAUUGACUCCAAAAGACACUUCAUUCCAGGUGACCAUGGGCGAUAAGUAAUUGCUUUACCAAUGCAUAUUAUGGAUUUCUCUAGAUCCUACCAUUUAGUUUUAGUGGAAGACUAUCUCUGCUGAAGCCUAGUUAGAUCAGAUAGCAAAUCUUAGAUCGCUCUUUAUUUCAUACUCUGUUGUAGAGAUAUUCAGUUGCAAAGAAUAGACUCUAGCUUGUUUAAUAAAGGAUUUACUGUAACAUUAUAUAAAAUUCAGAAAUAUUGGAAUAAUUGCAGAAACAAGUUAUACUCUGAGCUUCGAGAAAGGAUUCAUAAAGGCAUGGAACAGAGCUGGCUGCAAGUAUAGCUCUGUUAAAAUGAGAAAACUGCCCACCAAAUUGGGAAGCUAUCACUAUAGGUACUAGCUUCAGAACCAUGCUGCAGCUGGAAUAAUCCACACUAGCAAAAUAAAUGCUUCAUUCUAUGCUUCUAUUUUUACUUCCUCAGUUCUGAGUUCAAGUUUCAAAACAAAACAAAAUGCAUGAAUUGGUGGAACUUAAAUCAUACCUGGAAGUGUAUGUACAAAUUCAUUCGGGAAAUGUAGUUUUUAUCACAUCUGCCUCUGUAAUACACUACAGGAAGAUCCCAGUAGAAGUUUAGAAAGCCACUUGGACAUAAGCAAAAUGGUGGAAUAGAAGAUUCCAGUCCUCACCCCUUCGCAGAAACAUCAAUUUUCACAGCUACCCAUGGGUGAGAAUACAUUUUGGGGAACCCUGGAGUCCAGCUGAGAGAAUCCAGCAUUUGGGGACGUGCUCAUUGAAGAGGGUAAGAAAAGUAGUUUCACUUUACCUGCAUCACCACCUCUUCCCGAAGGUGGCACAGCUCAGUACUGGGAGAGGUUUCCUCAAACCACAAUUUUAUCCGUGAAGGAGAGCAAGAGUGAAGUGCACUUGUGGCUUCAGAAGUCUUAUAGGACACUACCCUGAAGGCUCAUUUCUGUUUCAUGCCAACCAAAACACUGAAGGAAUUGGCACAGCUACAUGGUCUAAGGGUAGCUAGGAACAAGGACUAGUAGCACAUGGAUCUCAGCAACUGGAUAUGGUUCCUGUUAACUGGAUCAUGGACUCUACCAAGAGACACACCCAUGAAUUCAGCAAAACAACUUGCCUACGGACACCCCCAAACAGCCAACAAACAAUAUCAGCACCUUGCAUGUGCCCCUAUAUCAGUGCCCUGGAUGUCCCCAUGAAUGGCAUCCCAUGGUUAUUGUGCAUGAGUCCCUUCAUACAGCAUAACAAAUUUCAGGAACAGAAUUUCAGUAGCCAGCUUGACUCUGUAGGACUGGGAUAAUGGCCACAACCUUGAAAACUUCAGAACACUGUCUUAGGGAAAAUAAAUGAGAGACUCUCAGUAUCCAGCCUGGCUUUGUGGAAUUGAGAAAAGGCACAUAAUCCAGGGCUUCUCCUCCUAGGAUUAGGAGGAAAUUUUUGAAAGUGAGAAAAAAACCACCAGUCACAUACAAAGGAACCUCAAUAAAACUCUCAGUGGAAUUCUUAGCAGAAACUAUGCAGACUAAAAGAGAGUGGGAUGAUAUAUUCAAAGUGCGAAAGAAAGAAAAAAAUCUGUCAAAAAGAAUGCUAUGCUCAGCAAAGCUGUUCUUCAGAAAUGAAGGAGAAAUUAAGACUUUUUCAGACAAACAAAAACUAAGGUAGUUUAUCAACACUAGACUUGCCCUACAAGAAAUGCUAAAGGGAGUUCUUCAGGUUGAAAUGAAGGAUACUAAUUUGCAACAUGAAAACACAUAAAAUAUAAACUCACUGGUAAAGCAUUUUUCAGAGUAGCCAAGAUACGGAAACAAGCUAAAUGCGAAUUGAUGGAUGAAUAGAUAAGAAGCAUGUGAUGUGUAUAUAUAUUAUGUGUGGAGGGAAACAUGGAGCAUGACCUAACACAGCUACCAGCAUUGAUUUUGAUCGUAAGCCAGUUGCUCAAAGACCAGUGUGGAAAAGGCUUAAGAAGGAAGAGCACCAGAGGGAAAUUACCAUCUGGAGACAAAAUGACACUGGGAACUUGGAGGAAAACGUUCAGGCACACCGUAUGAGGAAGCAGAACACUGGUUGUAGGUUGUGUGUUGAUGGCUUUCUAUGAGUAAAUGCCCUGAAAAUGUAUGUGACUAAGCACCAUAAUGUGGAUUUCUGAAAGCUGAAUGACUUAAAGAAAAAUCUUCUUAUUUCUAAAAAAAUCAACAAGUGGUUUCUUUUAGCAAGUUCUUAAAUUUCUGUAAGGCAUGAAUGAUCUAUUAUGUAAGGAAAGUGUUUCAAUACAGGUAUUCUGUCCUUAAGUGUCAUGGAAACCAAACGUCCUAUAAUGCAAAGCUCUGCUGCGUGCAGAUCUGUCCUUCUUUCACUACUCUCUUCCAUAUUUAUAAUGUCUCUAUUCAUAGUUUAUGUGAAUAAUAAAGGCUGUGGAGUCCCCUGGAAUUCUUAUUUACUAUGCUCCCAUUUCCUUAAUUAUUAAAAGUUUUACACCUUCAUAAGAGAUGCUUAGUUGCUAGAGCCUCUCCAUACACUAAUUCCCAGAAGAUGCUUAAGACAUGAGUCCCAGGAAGGUAUCCAUUGCAGGAAUUCUGGAUAGGACUGUGAGCUUAUGGACAGACGUUGAUGCAAACUGACUUGAGACAGUGCAACCGUUAAGGUCCCUUUAGAAAAUAUUGGUAGCUGCAAAAUUUUGGGGGGAGAUGCAGUUUAUAUAUUUAUCCACAACAUUAUUACUAGUUUAUAAAUAAAUGUAAAUCUCAAACCAAAUUAUUAAACAAACACAGUUUACCAAGUAUGAACAAAACUGUGAAAAUUUGAUAACAUUCCCACUCUCAGUCCUUUCAAGUGCCCUUCUGAAGACCACCUUGCUUAAAACGUUUACUUGAAACAAUUAUAACAAUAAUCUGGAGGCAAGAUUUGGCUAAUACUAUAUCUGCCAUCACAAAAACAGAAUUCUCCACUGCACUGUCUGGACUCCAGUGCAAGUAAGAUCUAAGCCUCAAGCUUUGUGUCCAAAGAUCCUUUCAUGCAAGGGUGGGAGGUAUCUCUAAAUCUUUAGACAACACUCAUAUCUUAAAUACCACUACUGUUACCAAUAAGGACCUAUUUGUAAUAUUCAUUAUGCUUUCAUACAAGCAUGAUUUUCACAAAUGAAGCCCCAUUUCUUAUAUGCAUUAUUUUAAUCAGCAAAAAUCUAGCACUGACAAGAUAAAAAGAUAGCCGAAGUCCUUGUAGUACAUUUCUCUGAAGUGUGGACUUUCUGUUACAUGCUAGGUGAUCAUUCCUGGAAAGUGAAUUACCAAUUAAGGGUAUAAAUUAAACUAAAUAACACAUACAUAAUAUCACACAUCAAUGUUGAUAUAUUUUAAAGUAAAUUAAAGGUAGGCAAGUCACUAUUCACAAUAGCAGAAACAUGGAAUAAACCCAGGUGCCCGUCAACAGUGAAUUGGAUAAUGAAAAUAUGGUACAUAUGCACCAUGGAAUACUACACAGCUAUAAAGAGAAUGAAAUCAUGUCUUUUUGCAGCAACAUGGAUGCAGCUGGAGGCCAUUAUCCUAAGUGAACUAACGUGGAAACAGAAAACCAAAUACAUGCUCUCGCUUAUAAGGGAGCUAAACAUUGGGUACAUGUGGACACAAAGAUGGGAACAAGACACUGGGAAGUACUAGAGGAGUGAGUAAGGGGAGGAAUUAAAAAAAUACUUGUUGGGUAUUAUACUUACUAACUUGGUGACAGAUUCAUUCAUACUCCAAAUCUCAGCAUCAAGCAAUAUACCUUUGUUAAAAAUCUGCACAUGUACCCCCGAUUCUAAAAUAAAAGUAAAAAAGAAUAAAAAAAUUAAAAAAUUAAAAUGUGCAUUUGUUAUUCUGAAAUUUUCGGGGAUUAUAAGUGUUUAUGGUUUAAAAAGUUCAGGCUCAGGCCAGGCAUGGUGGCUCACACGGGUAAUCCCAGCACUCUGGAAGGCCAAGGCAGGCCAAUUGCUUGAGCUCAGGAGUUCCCAGCUUUGGCAACAUAGCAAAACGUUUCUACAAAACACACAAAAAAUCAGUAGGAUGUGGUGGCAUGUGCCUAUAGUCCCAGUUACUUGGGGUGCUGAGGUGGGAGGAUUGCUUGAGCCCAGGAGGCUGAGGUUGCAGUGAGCCAAGAUUGCACUACUACACCCCAGCGUGGGUGACAAAGUGAGACCCUGUCUCAAAAAAAAAAAAAAAAAGUUCCGUCUCAGGGAUAUUGCAGGAUUCAAGACUAGUAUUUUAGCCAUAUUGAGAUUUAAGUAAUUUUGCAUCAUAAUGAGGAAACAAAAACAACUGUGGAGUAGUAGCUCCAGAAUUUCUGACUCUAUUUGGAAGGAGGGUCUAGGAAACUUGUAUGGAAGCUCUGUUUGCAUAACAGGCCACUUUUUUACUUGGAUAUUAUGCUUAUUUGGAUGGUUUUGAACAUGAGAUUAUGGGUGAUCUGGCUUUGGUAUUUUCACCAGCCAAACUUGUGAAAUAUUACCCUUUAAAAAGCUGGGGUGGGUGUGUGUUUUGUUUUUAAUAAUUCAUCUGUAAUAUGUAUAAGGCAUUUAUACCACAUUUAAAAAUUUUUUGAAUGUUCGAUAAUUUUAAUCUAUAAGAGAGACUAAAUUAUUUGAUGAAUGGGAAGCUUUAUUGCAGAGUUGAUUUGAGCUCCACAGAUGACAGUAAGAGAUUGUAAAAGUUCAUUUUCUAUAACACUAAACAUUAGUGUAUACUAGGAUCUAAACAUAAUGGCAGGUCUAAUAACAAGUAUGUUUCUAGUCUAACAAUAUAGUAUUAUUUUAUAUUCAUAAUAUUUGUUUUUUCUAAGGAAGUAGUAAAUUGGAGUGUAACACAAUGAUCAAUCUAAGUGUUGCCAUAACAUUUAUAGUUUCAUUAGCCAAUUAUAAUCUUUGAUUGUGAUUUUUGAAAGCUAUUUACAAGGACAGCUUAACCAGUAUAAGACUUCACUUUUUCAUCUAUACAAUUACAAUUCUCUCUUGAAAGAAAAUUGCACUUGUAAAUCAUUGAUGAUGAAAGAAUCUGUAUAAAAUUUUAAGUUCUUCCUUAGGCUGCAAAUUAUAAUGAAAUUUUUAAACAUAUGGUUGUCAAUUAGUGUGCUUUUUUCCUUUUGAAAUAAACACUUCUGCCUUAAAAUCUUGCUCUUUUCUUUAGAAACUGAAGCCAUUUGUUCUUUGUUUUUAAAGUCUUUAAUCUUAAAACCUAUUUUAAAUUUCAAAAGGCUUAAAGCUUUUAUGUGGUCCCUUGAGCUUAGGCAAGAAAUAGAUUUUGGGAUCACUAACAUAUGGAAGAGAUUGGAUAAGAUCAUCCUGAGAGAGAAAAUGUAAUGAGAAAGAAUAGGACAGAGGAAAGAGCUCUGAGGGAUGCCAGCAUCUAGAAAAAAGGAAGAAAAGGAGUUCACAAUAAGAGAGAAGGGAAAUUUGGAUAUUAUGACAUCUUGAAUGCCAGGGAAAAAGAUGAGUCACUGUUUUACAUUUCUGGUUAGGUUAUAGAAGGUUGAAAAGACCAUUGAUUUCAUUGUAUCUAUGGAUAAACUAAAAAUAAUGUUUGAUAUGGUUUGGCUGUCUCCCUACCCAAAUCUCAUUUUGAAUUCUAGUUCCCAUAAUCCCCCAUGUGUCAUGGAAGGGACGUGGUGGGAGGUAACUGAGUCAUGGGGGUGCAUGGGGGUGGUUACCCCCAUACUGUUCUCAUGAUAGUGAGUGAGUUCUCACAAGAUCUGAUGGUUUUAUAAGGGGCUUUUCCCCCUUUUGCUCGGCACUUCUCUCUCCUCCCACCAUGUGAAGAAGGAUGUGUUUGCUUCCCCUUUUGCCAUGAUUGUAAGUUUCCUGAGGCCUCCUAAGCCCUGUGGAACUCUGAAUAAAUUAAACCUCUUUCCUUUAUAACUUACCCAGUCUUGGGCAGUUCUUCAAAACCCAGCGUGAGAACGUACUAACACAAUGUUUGUAUUUUAAGUCAUCAAAGAGUUGUAGAAUCAAAUAACUCUAAAGAAACUGAAUUCCAAAGUUAGAUAAACUUAUCUAGAUUAUCACAAGUCAAUGGCCACUUGCAUUCCGAGGGUAGUCUGGGGAUCUGUUUCCCUUUGUCCCAACAAUUUGAGAAAGAAAAUUAUUAGGACAAAGGGAAAACAAUCAAGCUAGGCUGACAUAAUGGAUUGAAAUCUGAAAGAAAUGUAAGAGCCCUGCCUUCUCAUCAAUUUUCUCCUAUGGGAAUUUUGCUGAAUAAAGUCACACUUGUUGUGAAGCUAAAGCUGCCCUCAAAAAUAUAUUAAGAAUAUCUGCAAUGCAGAAUUUAUUGGAUUGGAUUAAUAGCAGACUGAAUUAAAUAGAAGAAAUUAUUAGUGACAGGCCAAUAGAAAUAAUAAAACUGGAGUACAUAAAAAGAUAUUUUUAAAAGUAUCUUUUUAAUUUAAUUUAAAAAUUAUCAUUUUAACAGAACUGAACAGAAAAGCAAAUAUCUGAAAGAAAAUAUUGACAGUCUAGUAUGCAUGUAAUUGGCGUCCCAGGAGAGCAAAUGGAGAAUGAGGUAGAAAUAUAUAUAUGAAGAGAGACUAGCCAAUAAAUUUUAAACAAUUUAAAAUUUCAAAUUUUUAAAAAAGCAACUGGUUAAAAAUCUGAAAUCAUAGAACUAAAAGGCUUAGUGAACACCAGGCAGAGUAAUUACAAAGAAAAUCUUGCCUGGGUACAUCAUAGUCAAACUAUUUAAAACCAAAGAUAAAGAGAAAGACCUUACAAAACACCUUAGGUAUGAAUGAGAAAUGACUAGCUACAAAUAAUGAGGGAAGCCAGAAGACAAUGGAAUAACCUUAAAAUGCCAAAAGAAAAUCAAUACAUACUUCUUUAUCUAAUAAAAGUAUUGGUCCAUUUGCAGGUGAAAUGAAAAUGUUUUUAGACAGCAAAACAUAAGAUUAUUCAUCACUAGCAGGAAAACAUGAAGAAUACAAAAAUUAAGAAAGCUUCUUUAGGAUGAAAAGAAGUAAGCCCAGGUGGAAGACUGGAUCUCCAUAAAAAAAAUGGAGAGCACAAAAAAGGGUAAAUAUGUGGUUGAAUAUUUUAAAACAUUUAAAAAUUUUUUUUAGCUGUUUAAAGCAAAUACAGUAACAAUGCAUUGUGGAAUUUAAAAUAAUAAAGAAGUAAACUAUAUAACAAUAGCACAAUGGGAAAGGAGACAUAUAUAAGGUCCUUACAUUGUUUUUGAAGUUGUAUACUAUUAACUUGGGGUUCAUUGUGAUAAAAUAAGAAUUAAUAUUGUAAUCUGUAAGUAAUCACUUAGAAGCAAUAUGCAAUGAAAAAGCCAACAGAAUAGAUAAAAUGGUAUACUAAAACUAUUCAAAUAAUAUAUAAAAAGCCAUGAAAUGUGGAGCAAAGAAAAAGAAAAAGAGAAAGGACAAACAGAAAUCAGCUAGCAAGGUGGAAAACACAAGUUUAACCAUAUCAGUAAUUACAUUAAAUAUUAAUAGAAUAAAAACUCCACUUAAAGUACAGAAAAUAUCAGGUUGGAUUUAAUUUAAAAACAAGACCCAACAAAUCAGUUUAUAAUUGGAUGUUCUUUUAUAAUCCAGCCUAACAUUAUCUAGCCUUCAAACAUAAGAAUGCAAAGAGUUUGGAAAUAAAAGGAUUAGGAAGCUUAUAAUAAAAAGAUUAAUGUAGCUAUAUUAACAUCAGAUAAAGUGGAUUUCAAGCCAAUAAGUAUUACCAGGAAUAAAGAAAACAUUUCAUAAUAACCAAAGGGUCAAUUCAUUGGGAAAACAUGAUAAUUCUAAAUGCAAAUGCCCCUAGUAACAUAGAUUCAAAAUAUUUGAGAUAAAAUCAAACAGAAAUAAAAGGGAUAAUAGACAAAUCCAUAAUCAUAGCUGAAGAUUUUAACUCUCCUCUUUCAGAAAUCUGUAAAUGAAGUGUAAAAAAAAAAAUCAACGAGUAUAUGGUGGAUUUGAAUAAUACUGUCAAGCAGCUUGAUGAAAUUGAAAUGUAUAGAACAACAUACUCAGUAAUUGCAGGAUACAUGUUAUUUUUAAAUGCAUUCAAAACACUCGCCAAAAUAGGCCAUAAACUGGGCCAUAAAUUAAGUUGCAAAACAUUUCAAAGGAUUGAAAUCAUGCCGAGUAUAUUCUCUGACUUAAAUGAAACUAGAAAUCAGAGUUUAAAUAAUAACUGGGAAAUCCUCAAAUAUUUGAAAAUUAAGAAAUAACUUUUAAAAUAAACCAUAGGAGAUAUCAUAAGGGAAAUUUAAAAAUAUUUUAGAUCAAACAAGGAUGAAAAUACAACAUAUCAAAUUUUGUGGGAUGCAGCUAAAGCCUUGAUAAGAGAAGACAUUUUAAUACUACAUGCAAAUAUUAGAAAGAAAAAUAAUUUUAUUUAAAAAAUGUAAUCUUCCACUUCAGAAAGCUAGAUAGAAAAGAGCAAAUUAAACUCCAUGGUUGUAGAAGAGGAAAUGACAAUGAUGAGAACAGAAAUCAGUGAAACAGAAAACAGAUGAACAAUAGAGAAAACCAACAAAUCCAAAAGUCAAUUCUAUGAAAAGAUUAAUACAAAUUUGUAAUCCCCUAGCAAGGCCAGUUAAGAAAAAGUAAAAAAUAUAAAUUAUCAAUAUCAGCAGUAAAAUGAGAUACAUGACUACAGAUUUAAAAGAAUAAGAAUAAACAGGGAAUAUUAUAAACAAUUUUACUCCAGUAAGUUUGACAACUUGGGAAAAAUGUAUAUAUUCCUUGAUAAAUACAAUUUUUUGAAACUAAUCCAAAAAUAAAUAGAAACUAUAGAAGUCUCAUAUUGGUUAAUAAAGUUGAAUCUACAAUUAAAAACAUUUCCACAAAGCCCAGAUGGCUUUAUUAAUGAAGUCUACCAAACAAUAAAGGAAGAAGCAAUACAUUCUAUACAAGCUCUUUCAGAAUAUACAGGAAGAGAAAAUGCCUUCCAACUAGCUUUAUGAGGCCAGAGAACCGUGAAACCAAACUUGGCAAGUGCAAGAGAACAGGUCCCUGGGUGGCCUUGGCUCACCCAGUUCUUCCUCCCGUUGCUUGCAAUUCUCUUGCUGAAUGUCCUGAGAAUACAACAUCCUAAGAUAAGGACGAAAUGCCUGGAAAAAGUCCAGAUUAUGUCUUUGAUCCUCUGCAUUAGUCCAUUUUCAUGCUGCUGAGAAAGACAUACCUGAGACUGGGCAAUUUACCAAAGAAAGAGGUUUAAUUGGACUUACAGUUCUACAUGGCUGGGGAGACCUUACAAUAAUGGCUAAAGGCAAGGAGGAGCAAGUCACAUCUUAUGUGGAUGGUAGCAGACAAAUAGAGAGCUUGUGCAGAGAAACCCCCAUUUUUAAAACCAUCAGAUCUCUUGAGACCCAUUCACUAUCAUGAGAACAGCGCAGGGAAGACCUGUCCCCAUGAUUCAGUUGUCUCCCACUGGGUCCCUCCCACAGCAUGUGGGAAUUAUGGGAGCUACAAAAUGAGAUUUAUGUGGGGACACAGAGCCAAACCAUAUCAUUCUGUCCCUGGCCCCUCCCAAAUCUCCUAUCUUCACAUUUCCAGUUUCCAGUUUCCAGUUUCCAGUUUAAAAAUCAGUCAUGGCUUCCCAACAGUCCCCCAAGUCUGAACUCAUUUCAGCAUUAACUCAAAAGUCCACAGUCCAAAGUCUCAUCCUAGAUAAGGCAAAUGCCUUCUGCCUAUGAGCUCGUAAAAUCAAAAGCAAGUUAAUUACUUCCUAGAUUCAAUAGGGGUAUAGCCAUUGGGUAAAUAUAGCUAUUCCAAGUGGGAGAAAUUGGCCAAAACAAAGGGGCUACAAGCCCCAUGCAAGUCAGAAAUCCAGUGGGACAGUCAAAUCUUAAAGUUCCAAAAUGAUCUCCUUUGACUCCAUGUCUCACAUCCAGGUCAUGCUGAUGCAAGAGGUGGGUUCCCAUGGUCUUGGGCGGUGCUAUCCCUGUGGCUUUGCAGGGUACAGCCUCCCUCCCGGCUGCUUUCACAGGCCGACAUUGAGCGUCUGAGGCUUUUCCAAGCACACGAUGCAAGCUGUUAGUGGAUCUACCAUUUUGGGGUCUAGAAGACGGUGGCCCUUUUCUCACAGCUCCACUAUGUGGUGCCCCACUGGGCACAGGUACCAAUGGUAUUAAAAAGCUGUAGAGACACAUUUAAAAUUUAUACAUUCUACUCUAUUUUAUUUAUUCCUGAAAGCACUGAGAAAAAUACAAAAAUGCUGCAUAAAUUAAAAUAAGAUCAGCACUGAAAAGCAUCCAUUGGAAGGAGGCCGUUGAUUGCCUUCUUUGAGAAUAAUAAACGUGAAAUCAGUUUAGAUAGCAUAGAGAGAAAGAGAUGGAGACACUGAAUAUAGUUAAUUCUUUUAAGAAGAUUUGCUAUGAGGAAAAGGAAAACAGAUUUGAUGGCAGUAGGAGGGAAACGUGCACAUUUAUUCUUUAGGGCCAGAAGGGAAAGGAUGCCUCAUAGAUCUGAAAUUCUUUUAAUUUAUAGUUAUUAUGGGAAAAACUAAAAAAUCAGAAUAUUCAAAGCAUUUCCUUUUUUGUACAGUUUUAGAUUUACAGAAAAUUUAAGGGUAUAAUAAAGAGUAGUAGCAUCGAGUUCCAUAUACCUGCUUUUGCUUUCCCCUGCCCCCACCCCACCCUGUAUAGUUUCCCUUAUUAUUAAUAUCUUAUAUUAGUGUGGUACGUUUGUUACCAUUCAUGAACAAAAUUGCUAUAUUAUUAUUAACUGAAGCUCAUGGUUUACAUCAAGUUUCAAUCUUUCCAUUGUACAGUUUUAUGAGUUUUGGAAAAUGUGAAAAAUGCAUGAUGUCAUAUAUAUAUUAAUACCAUAACAGUUCAAUGCAGAAUAGUUUCAGCAUCCUAAAAAUUGCCUGUGCUUCACCUAUUCAUCCCUUCUCCAACCCUCUUUUUUUUUUUUUUUUGAGGCAGAAUCUCUCUCUCUCUCACCCAGGCUGGAGUGAAGUGGCACGAUCUCAGCUCACUGCAACCUCUGCCUCCCAGGUUCAAGUGAUUCUCCUGCCUCAGCCUCCUGAGUAGCUGGGAUUACAGACGCGUGCCACCACUCCUGGCUAAUUUUUGUAUUUUUAAUUGAGACUAGGUUUCACCAUGUUGGUCAGGCUGGUCUUGAACUCCUCACCUCAGGUUAUCCACCCACCUCAGCCUCCCAAAGUGCUGAGAUUACAGGCGUAAGCCAUCGCGCCCGGCUCCUCUUUUUGUUUAUAAAUAGAAAAAUUACCAAACUAUCUCCAAUCCUUAGAACCCCUGGUAACCAAUGAUGUUUUUACUGUCUCUACAGCUUUACCUUUUCCAGGAUGUUACAUAGUUGGAAUCAUACUUCUUUUAUCUUAAAAGUUAGCUCUGCACAUUUGCAGUCAAUCUUUUCUUUUACCCCCAGCAUCAGACAACUACUGAUCUGUUUUCUGACUCCAUAGUUUGUCUACUAUAAAAAUUUGUAUACAUAUAAUUAUACAAUAUGCAGAUCUUUAAAAUGGCUUUGUUAUUAGCAUAUUUAUCAAUUUCAUCUGUUUGUUGCAUGUAUCAGUAGUUUGUUCUUUUUAAUUGUUGAGUAGUACUCCAUGGUAUAUAUUUAUUUACUGCAGAUUUUGGAAGAACCAUUCUUGUUGUAUGUAUUUUUUAGGUUCCAAAAAUUUGUUACUGUUGUCACCUCUCUUCUUGUGAAUUUCUGUCGUUAUAACAUGCAGUUAUAGUGAAGCUUUUGAGACACUGAAAUUGAAGGUGUCUGCUAAAGCUACUCUUUAAACUCAGAAGUUUUUUUUUUUCCUUUACUUCAUAAGGUGAUAGGUGAAGACUUGUCCCAUCAUUUUACUGUGAGGAGAAUAAUUACUAUGACAUUUCAAGUAUGUAAAAUUAAAAUAUAUCUAAUGAAC